Molecule: non-coding RNA, 508 nt
Organism: Biomphalaria pfeifferi
Lineage: Eukaryota; Metazoa; Mollusca; Gastropoda; Planorbidae
Source: the annotation of a GenBank genome assembly
CUUUUCAUCUACUCUCAAGGGAAAUUUUUUUUUAAAACUCUCUAAGUAUUUUUUUUUUUUAAGUUGAUCAACAAUUUGUGAUUGUUCUGAAUUAUAUUUCAACUGGCUGAUUGACUGUUUGAUUUUGUUCAGUGGUUCUUAAAAUGUGCAGCUCCACACUCGUGGGGUGUCCCAUUUUUAUGUAUUUUUUCGUAUGGGUUUUUUUUUAACUAAGAAAACUUUUUCAACCUGAAAAGGUUUUAAUUCACUAUGAAUAAAAAAUGAAAUAUGGUUGAACCAUGCUAAUGUAUAGACUUGGGACAUGAUUUUCAAAUAGCUUUUAAUUUUAAAUCUAACUAAAAGCCCAUUCUUUAACAUGCCUGCUUCCUAUUUUGUUUAGUUUGAAGUUUAUAAAUGAAAUGGACUUUGGUUCUAUACAUCACCAUGCUUAUGAUUCCAUUCAUCUUUAAGUGUAGACUUGUUUUAUAUUGUGGACAGAAAGUUACAAAUAAAAAUGUGAACUUUGUAC